Molecule: ribosomal RNA, 496 nt
Filed under: uncultured bacterium
Lineage: Bacteria
Description: partial 16S ribosomal RNA
Rfam family: Bacterial small subunit ribosomal RNA
Source: RNAcentral
GAUGAACGCUGGCGGCGUGCCUAAUACAUGCAAGUCGAGCGAACAGACGAGGAGCUUGCUCCUCUGACGUUAGCGGCGGACGGGUGAGUAACACGUGGAUAACCUACCUAUAAGACUGGGAUAACUUCGGGAAACCGGAGCUAAUACCGGAUAAUAUAUUGAACCGCAUGGUUCAAUAGUGGAAGACGGUUUUGCUGUCACUUAUAGAUGGAUCCGCGCCGCAUUAGCUAGUUGGUAAGGUAACGGCUUACCAAGGCAACGAUGCGUAGCCGACCUGAGAGGGUGAUCGGCCACACUGGAACGGAGACACGGUCCAGACUCCUACGGGAGGCAGCAGUAGGGAAUCUUCCGCAAGGGGCGAAAGCCUGACGGAGCAACGCCGCGUGAGUGAUGAAGGUCUUCGGAUCGUAAAACUCUGUUAUUAGGGAAGAACAAAUGUGUAAGUAACUAUGCACGUCUGGACGGUACCUAAUCAGAAAGCCACGGCUAACUACGU